Molecule: ribosomal RNA, 466 nt
Filed under: uncultured bacterium
Lineage: Bacteria
Description: bacterial SSU rRNA
Rfam family: Bacterial small subunit ribosomal RNA
Source: RNAcentral
AUACCAGACUCCUACGGGAGGCAGCAGUGAGGAAUAUUGGUCAAUGGACGAGAGUCUGAACCAGCCAAGUAGCGUGAAGGAUGACUGCCCUAUGGGUUGUAAACUUCUUUUAUAUGGGAAUAAAAUGUUCCACGUGUGGGAUUUUGUAUGUACCAUAUGAAUAAGGAUCGGCUAACUCCGUGCCAGCAGCCGCGGUAAUACGGAGGAUCCGAGCGUUAUCCGGAUUUAUUGGGUUGAAAGGGUGCGUAGGCGGUGCGAAAAGUGAGAGGAAAAGCCCCGGGGCCAAACCCCGGCGGGCCGUUGAAACUGUCGGACUAGAGACGGCGAGAAGUACGCGGAAUGCGCGGUGUAGCGGUGAAAUGCAUAGAUAUCGCACAGAACUCCGAUUGCGAAGGCAGCGUACCGGCGCCGGACUGACGCUGAGGCACGAAAGCGUGGGUAUCGAACAGGAUUAGAUACCCGGGUA